AAUCUACUCAUGAUCCUAGUAUCAUUGGCUCUAUAGUCUACUCAUGAUCCUAGUAUCAUUAGUAUAAAUUGUCCAGGUGUGACAGGGGAGGUAGGUGACCCACCCAGGGGCAGGAUGAGGAUGGAGGAGGAGGAGGAGGAGUAGUGUAGAGGAGGAGGAGGAGGGGUGGAGCUCAGCUACUGAACAAGGACCGGUCGGUGCGUUCCGACGUGAACUCAUGAAUAGUUCUGUGAUCAACCCAACAAACCAGCAGGACAGGUCGACAUUUUACCUGUUGCCCUGGUUACCUGGGCUGAACACGCCCACCCCAGCUGCUACCAAUCAGGAGAGGGAGUGAAGAGGUGCAGGCAGCAAGGAAUCCUCAGUAUUCUAGUUUCAACAGCCUGCCGACAGACACAGAACCACGGACAGACUAGAGACAGACAGACAUGUCAUUUUUUUCAGGACUUGUGGAGAAGGCAGUAGAUAAAGCUGUGGACCAUGCCAAGGACAAAGUGAUGGAUAUGCUGGGAGUAGGAGGCAAGGACGAGGACGAGGAGGAGGAGGAGGAAGGAGGCAUCAAGAAGUUCUUCUCCUUUGGGAAGGACAAGGAGGAGGAUGACGAUGACGAUGAGAAGAAGAGCGGGCUCAGCCGCUUCCUGUCCUUUGGAGGAGAUGACGAUGAGGAGGAGAAGAAGAAGAGGAAGAAGAAGGAGGGAGGAGGUGAUGGGGACAUGUUGGACUUCCUGUCAUUUGGUGGAGAAGACGAGGAGAAGAAAGGAGGUUUCCACGGCCUCUUCUCUGAGCAGCAGCCAGGAGGUGGAGCAGGAGGCGCAGGGGAGAUGAGUCUGACGGACAGCCUGGGGGAGAUCGCUGAGGAGAUGUCAGCCGAGUAGAUGACCUGCUGUCAUCUCAUCUGUAACAUCUGGACCUGGACCCUCCAGACCCAACCCCUCUAGAGCCAGCCCCUCUACCCCCCCAGCCCCUCCUACCCCUCUACCCCUCCAGCCCCUCUACCCCCCCAGCCCCUCCUACCCUCCUACCCCUCCAGCCCCUCUACCCCCCCAGCCCCUCCACCCCUCCAGCCCCUCUACCCCCCCAGCCCCUCCACCCCUCCAGCCCCUCUACCCCCCCAGCCCCUCCACCCCUCCAGCCCCUCCACCCCUCCAGCCCCUCUACCCCCCCAGCCCCUCUACCCCUCCAGCCCCUCCACCCCUCCAGCCCCUCUCUUCUCCUGACCCUGGGACGCAGUAUUUAUUAUUAUUCCCUCGUUGCUAAUGGCCCCCUGACGCCACGGCUGAAGACUUCCACGGAGCGGAGCGUGUGGAGAGGGUCUUCCUCUGGACCCCAGAGGUAGAAGCUCC
Molecule: long non-coding RNA, 1343 nt
Filed under: Gadus morhua (Atlantic cod)
Lineage: Eukaryota; Metazoa; Chordata; Actinopteri; Gadiformes; Gadidae
Description: lncRNA (ENSGMOG00000035247.1)
Source: RNAcentral